Molecule: ribosomal RNA, 712 nt
Filed under: uncultured Enterococcus sp.
Lineage: Bacteria; Bacillati; Bacillota; Bacilli; Lactobacillales; Enterococcaceae
Description: bacterial SSU rRNA
Rfam family: Bacterial small subunit ribosomal RNA
Source: RNAcentral
CGUAAACGAUGAGUGCUAAGUGUUGGAGGGUUUCCCCCUCCAGUGCUGCAGCUAACGCAUUAAGCACUCCGCUGGGGAGUACGACCGCAAGGUUGAAACUCAAAGGAAUUGACGGGGGCCCGCACAAGCGGUGGAGCAUGUGGUUUAAUUCGAAGCAACGCGAAGAACCUUACCAGGUCUUGACAUCCUUUGACCACUCUAGAGAUAGAGCUUUCCCUUCGGGGACAAAGUGACAGGUGGUGCAUGGUUGUCGUCAGCUCGUGUCGUGAGAUGUUGGGUUAAGUCCCGCAACGAGCGCAACCCUUAUUGUUAGUUGCCAUCAUUCAGUUGGGCACUCUAACGAGACUGCCGGUGACAAACCGGAGGAAGGUGGGGAUGACGUCAAAUCAUCAUGCCCCUUAUGACCUGGGCUACACACGUGCUACAAUGGGAAGUACAACGAGUCGCUAGGCCGCGAGGUCAUGCAAAUCUCUUAAAGCUUCUCUCAGUUCGGAUUGCAGGCUGCAACUCGCCUGCAUGAAGCCGGAAUCGCUAGUAAUCGCGGAUCAGCACGCCGCGGUGAAUACGUUCCCGGGCCUUGUACACACCGCCCGUCACACCACGAAAGUUUGUAACACCCGAAGUCGGCGAGGUAACCUUUUGGAGCCAGCCGCCUAAGGUGGGAUAGAUGAUUGGGGUGAAGUCGUAACAAGGUAACCAAGGGCGAAUUCUG